RNAcentral lists this ribosomal RNA (425 nucleotides) under uncultured bacterium. Its description in RNAcentral is "bacterial SSU rRNA". It matches the Rfam family "Bacterial small subunit ribosomal RNA", at positions 359 to 776 of the family's 1533-position model. The record is from RNAcentral.
GAAUAUUGCGCAAUGGGCGAAAGCCUGACGCAGCCAUGCCGCGUGUGUGAAGAAGGCCUUCGGGUUGUAAAGCACUUUAAGCAGGGAGGAAAAGCGGUUACCUAAUACGUAAUCGCCGUGACGUUACCUGCAGAAUAAGCACCGGCUAACUCCGUGCCAGCAGCCGCGGUAAUACGGAGGGUGCAAGCGUUAAUCGGAAUUACUGGGCGUAAAGCGCGCGUAGGCGGCUUGGUCAGUGGUGUGUGAAAGCCCUGGGCUUAACCUGGGAACUGCAUGCCAUACUGCCAGGCUUGAGUAUGAUAGAGGGAAGUGGAAUUCCAGGUGUAGCGGUGAAAUGCGUAGAUAUCUGGAGGAACAUCAGUGGCGAAGGCGGCUUCCUGGAUCAAUACUGACGCUGAGGUGCGAAAGCGUGGGGAGCAAACAGG